UGGGCGUAAGAGCUCGUAGGCGGUCUGUCCGCGUCCGGCUGUGAAAACUCGGGGCUUCAACCCCGAGCCUGCAGUCGAUACGGGCAGACUAGAGUGCUGUAGGGGAGACUGGAAUUCCUGGUGUAGCGGUGAAAUGCGCAGAUAUCAGGAGGAACACCGGUGGCGAAGGCGGGUCUCUGGGCAGUAACUGACGCUGAGGAGCGAAAGCGUGGGGAGCGAACAGGAUUAGAUACCCUGGUAGUCCACGCCGUAAACGGUGGGUGCUAGGUGUGAGCGGUAUUCCACGCCGUUCGUGCCGCAGCUAACGCAUUAAGCACCCCGCCUGGGGAGUACGGCCGCAAGGCUAAAACUCAAAGGAAUUGACGGGGGCCCGCACAAGCAGCGGAGCAUGUGGCUUAAUUCGACGCAACGCGAAGAACCUUACCAAGGCUUGACAUGCAGGGAAAUCUCCCAGAGAUGGGAGGUCCGCAAGGGUCCUGCACAGGUGGUGCAUGGUUGUCGUCAGCUCGUGUCGUGAGAUGUUGGGUUAAGUCCCGCAACGAGCGCAACCCUCGUUCUAUGUUGCCAGCGCGUGAUGGCGGGGACUCAUAGGAGACUGCCGGGGUCAACUCGGAGGAAGGUGGGGGAUGACGUCAAAUCAUCAUGCCCCCUUAUGUCUUGGGGCUGCACACAUGCUACAAUGGCCGGUACAAAAGGGCUGCUAAACCGUGAGGUGGAGCGAAUCCCAAAAAGCCGGUCUCAGUUCGGAUUGGGGUCUGCAACUCGACCCCAUGAAGUCGGAGUUGCUAGUAAUCGCAGAUCAGCAACGCUGCGGUGAAUACGUUCCCGGGCCUUGUACACACCGCCCGUCACGUCACGAAAGUCGGUAACACCCGAAGCCAGUGGCCCAACCCGGAAGGGGGGGAGCUGUCGAAGGUGGGAUCGGCGAUUGGGACGAAGUCGUAACAAGGUAGCCGU
Molecule: ribosomal RNA, 957 nt
Filed under: uncultured bacterium
Lineage: Bacteria
Description: bacterial SSU rRNA
Rfam family: Bacterial small subunit ribosomal RNA
Source: RNAcentral